GUACGUAGGGAGCGAGCGUUGUCCGGAAUUACUGGGUGUAAAGGGAGCGUAGGCGGGAGUGCAAGUCAGAUGUGAAAUACAUGGGCUCAACCCAUGGGCUGCAUUUGAAACUGCAUUUCUUGAGUGAAGUAGAGGUAAGCGGAAUUCCUGGUGUAGCGGUGAAAUGCGUAGAUAUCAGGAGGAACACCGGUGGCGAAGGCGGCUUACUGGGCUUUUACUGACGCUGAGGCUCGAAAGCGUGGGGAGCAAACAGGAUUAGAUACCCUGGUAGUCCACGCUGUAAACGAUGAUUACUAGGUGUGGGGGGACUGACCCCUUCCGUGCCGCAGUUAACACAAUAAGUAAUCCACCUGGGGAGUACGGCCGCAAGGUUGAAACUCAAAUGAAUUGGCGGGG
RNAcentral lists this ribosomal RNA (396 nucleotides) under uncultured bacterium. RNAcentral describes it as "partial 16S ribosomal RNA". It matches the Rfam family "Bacterial small subunit ribosomal RNA", at positions 523 to 918 of the family's 1533-position model. The record is from RNAcentral.